AUGCGGCGGGAAGAAGUGGCAUUUAGAAGUGUUGCUGACUUUACAUUUAGGUUUCGGCAUAACAAAGCUUGCACUGUCUUUUCGCACUUAGGCGCACAGCGUGCCGUUGGUAAUGAUUCUACUACGGUGCUGCAAAUUCGCAAGCUGAUCCUAAGUAAUCGUUGUUGUUCAUUGGAUUCCUCCGGAAUUACUUCGUUAGGAUUGAAGAAUUGCAGCAAUUCUUCCUGA
Molecule: ribosomal RNA, 228 nt
Filed under: Triticum aestivum (bread wheat)
Lineage: Eukaryota; Viridiplantae; Streptophyta; Magnoliopsida; Poales; Poaceae
Description: partial small subunit ribosomal RNA
Source: RNAcentral